ACCUGAGCAGAGGUACGUUGGAAAAAAUAAAUUAUUACUUAUAAGUUAUGUGAGAGACCGUUGAACAAGCAGCGAUUGUGUACCACAAUGAUUAUACAGGUGCAGGAUCACGCGACUUUGUGCGGUUCCCCUCUUUUAACUUCAAUGGCUGUAAACACGAUGCUCGACAUUGACGGCCAUACUCCAUACUUCUAAAAGAAAGACAUCACAGUGGGGAACAAAAGACAUCUCGUGUUUUACACAGACCGUCUACUAGAGCUGCUAGUCUCGGUGAAAACAUGGUGCAUGGACGGUACAGUCCGAGUCGUGAAGAGUCCGUUUAAGCAACUGUUCGGCAUUCAUGGUUUCGUCAAGUGCGAUGACCGCAUGAAACAGAUCCUACUAGUCUCUGCAUCAUGUCUUUGGGAAGUAAACACUUAUACUAUGAGGUCAUGAGAGCCAUUGAUCGAAGACUACCGAUGGACGUUGCAGUGAAAACAUUCGCAGGCGUUGAGGCAGCGAUUCCCUGGGUGUGACAUUCAAUGGUGUGCAUUCCAUUG
Dreissena polymorpha is the source of this 539-nucleotide long non-coding RNA. RefSeq lists it as uncharacterized. The record is from RefSeq and is a predicted model, not a curated record. The transcript is spliced from 3 exons. Lineage: Eukaryota; Metazoa; Mollusca; Bivalvia; Myida; Dreissenidae.